GGAGAAAAAGAAAGGCGAGGGAUAGAAAGAGAUACCUAAAUGUGUUUUGUGUUUCGGUGAAAUAAAUAUAAUUAUUUUAUGUUAUUAAUAUAAUUUUAUACAAAUUUCAUAUGUUACUUAUAUUUUCUGUUAAUAGUACGGAACGCUCGAGUUAUUAGCUCGAAUCGAAUGGAAUAACCCUGUCUGAUAUUUAUCAUUUCGUUUGUUUUUUAUUAUUUCUCCUUUUUUUUUUUUUUUUGCUACUUAAUAAAAUUAGAUUCAUAUAAAAAAAAUACGCUCCGAAUUUGAGAUAUGUACUACUGUACGUAAACUUGAGAUCACAGAGAUUGUUAUUUGAUAUAUUAAGAUGUCUUCCUUUCUUUUUCGUUUUUUUUUUAUUUCUUUUUUUUUUUUCUUUUUUAUUUUUUUUAAUUAUCACUUAUUAAUUAUUUGGCACGAUUAAUCGACACUGAGAUUGUUAACGAUUCUUACAAUGAAAAUACUGUAAUGAACGACACGAAGAUUGUUAGAGCUUUUUCCAAGCACUUAUUUAUGACUAUAUAUAUUAUGUGAAAUGGAAAAAAGAAGAAGUAUAAGAAGAAAAAAUUAGAAAUAUUAAAACGACGAUGGAACAAUCGGUACAAUAAUUAUCACAGCGUUGUAUCGAGAUUAAUGAUUUAUCGGCGAGUACGACACAAUGAUACCUAUGAAUACAUAAAAAAGAUCUAAGAAAUUGGCAAGAUCGAGAAAUAGAUUGUACGAAACGUUUUCUUCGCAGUAAUAUUAUUAAUAUUAUCGUGCGAAUAAGAAUCGUUGAAAAUAAUACAAUUGACUUAAACAUGAAGGUAUUAAAUAAAAAUCAGACAACGAAACAAAAAAGAAGAAACAACGAUCUUUUCUCGAUAUAUAUGUAUGUAAGAAACAGCGAAGUUAUGUCAGUCUCCGUGCCUCGUGUCGAGUCAAAAUUUCUUAUAAAAGAUCCGCCUGAUGAGAUCCUUCCUUCCGGCCGAUACCAAAGCGAGCGGUGUCUUCCCUUGCUUAUUGUGAAUGUUACUCUGCCCUCCGGCCUGAGUCAAGAGCCAGCACACUUCCUUUUGCCUUUCCAAAGGGACCGAAUACGAAGCAGCGGCAGCCAUAUGCAACGGAGUGUUGUAUUCGUAAUUUGUCGCGUUCACCGUGCUGGAACUAGCUUUACUUAACAACACCUGUUGAAAUAACAACGUUAUUGUCUCUCUCUCUCUCUCUCUUCUCUUAGUCUGUAAUAGUAGUGGUAGUAGUAUAAAUAAGACUCUAUUUUUAUACGCGCUAACGUAAUAGAAUAAAUGGUACAAGCGUAAGGAUGAUAGCUAAGUGUUUAAAUGAUCUCAAGAGGACGAGGAUCAAUUAUAAUAUUAUCAUAUUACGUGUGUGCAUGUAUGCAUAAUUAUCAACAACCAAUGUAAAAGAGGAAGAUACGAAAGUGAUAGAGAUAUGUUUUAUAUUACAUUGAAUUGCGUCCUACACAAUGUUACAAAGUCAAUGAAUACUAUGCAUAUAAAUUAAUUUACAUAUAGUUGUUGAAAUAUAUUAAGAAGAGGAAAAUAAAGUUGAAAAUUGAUUGCUUUUAAAUUACAUUGUUUUGAAAAUAUAAAAUAAGAUAUAAAAUAAUUAAAUUAAGAAGAGAAAAUAGAGAAUCUUUAUACUUUUCUUAUUACUUCUUAUUACUCUUAUUUCGUGUAUCCUCUACCUUACUAAAUAUGGAACUAUAUUAUUUGUAUAUGUGUAUACUAUAUACAUAUAUAUACACAUAUGUAUACCUUGACGAGAGCCGGAUCACAACUGAGCGCGGCAGCCAUGUGCAAGACUGUGUCGCCGCGUUUGGUGUCCUUUAUAUUUAGAUCCGCUCCAUUGUCUAGAAGCAAACGAACCGUGGCUACGGCCUUGGGACCUCUUCCCGUUGGAUCGUGGGACUCUACCGCCGUGUGUAAAGCGGUUCUUCCUUUAAAAAAAAAAAACCAAAAACAAAAAUAAAACGAAUGAGUCCCUCUAAUUGAUUGAUUCUCGGUAAAUAUGUCUACGAUCCAUAUUGAUGACUUUCAAAUCGAUCGUGUAUAUAUAUAUAUAUAUAUAUAUAUAUAUAUAUAUAUAUAUACAUAUAUAUACAAUCGUUCAUUCGAGUAGAUAAAAAUCUUUAGAAUAACGACAACUUUUUUAUGAUUGAAUAGGAUUAUGAUUUAUAGAUAGGAAUAGCUAAUGAUAAUGCUAACCAUCGUAGUUGCAUUUGGAGAGAUCAAAGACAGCGUUCCCUUGACUAGUCUUUAGGGCCAGUAACUCGGCCAAAACUUCGCCAUGUGAGUCUCCUCUCGCUGACACCGAGUGUAUCAAGGUAUCACCCUGUAAAAAUGGAUAAAAAAAAAAAAA
This is a long non-coding RNA of Vespa mandarinia (Asian giant hornet), 2379 nucleotides long. Lineage: Eukaryota; Metazoa; Arthropoda; Insecta; Hymenoptera; Vespidae. The record is from RefSeq and is a predicted model, not a curated record.